Molecule: ribosomal RNA, 253 nt
Filed under: uncultured bacterium
Lineage: Bacteria
Description: partial 16S ribosomal RNA
Rfam family: Bacterial small subunit ribosomal RNA
Source: RNAcentral
GACGUAGGGCGCGAGCGUUGUCCGGAUUUAUUGGGCGUAAAGAGCUCGUAGGCGGCUCGUUGCGUCGGCUGUGAAAACCCGGGGCUCAACCCCGGGCCUGCAUUCGAUACGGGCAGACUGGAGUUCGGUAGGGGAGUCUGGAAUUCCUGGUGUAGCGGUGAAAUGCGCAGAUAUCAGGAGGAACACCGGUGGCGAAGGCGGGACUCUGGGCCGAUACUGACGCUGAGGAGCGAAAGCGUGGGGAGCGAACAGG